GUAAGGCAGAAAAAAGAGAGAAGAUGCCGUAAGGAAAGCACUGGCUGAAGAGGCAUGAACAGGUACCACUUUUAUGCACAAGUGAAUUUUGAAACAUAUCAUGUGGGUCUCCUCUCCUUUUGUGCUCACCUGAUACUAGGCAGGGAGGGGUCCCUAGUUUCAAAACACAAAGCUUAAUACCUCUAAUUUUCUGCCUCACUGGUAUCUCACAGAAGGCAAACUGGUGAAGCUUAGAGGUAAGUAACUUGGGUGAAAGAAUGAACAGGGUAGAAGUGAGCACUGACUCUCCAGUGCCAAAUCACAUAUUUGGUUCCACAGCACAGCAAAAUACCCAUUACACAGAAAGCAAAUUAAUACCAAAACACAGAAACCACUCACAUACUAGAAAAAGGUAAGAUACAGAAAUACAUAAUAAAAUCUUGGCAAAACACACACUUAAAAUCAGCCAGCCACCUAAUACAUACAGUACAACUCCCCAUAGUUAAAAAAGGGGGCCCCCUCACAGCAUAAGCAAGAAGACUUCCCUUGAGCCCUACCUUGAGCCCUCUGAGAUGCUUGCUUGUUCCUUUCUCUCUGGGCUUGUUCUGGGGCUCAGGUACAUUUUUGCAGACGCCACUGGUAUUGGAGCCCUUGCCAUUCUCCUUACUUAAAAAAAUAAAGGAAAAAAUGAAUUAGGAGGGGCAUGGAGCCCAGUGUGUGUGCCAUUUUGGAAUCCCAGAAGUAAGGAGUUAGAAAUUGCUAUUCUUAGCAUCUUCUGAUCAGAAAGAAGCCUUCUUGCAAAGCUUGUAGUGUGUUAGGAUUUGUUAGCUUGCUAUUUCUCUCUUUCUUUAUUCACCUGGUUCCACAGGUGCUUGGCCCUCAGCAAAGGACCAUCCCCUCCUCAGGGAGCUGAGAUCAGUGGGCCCAGCUGCUUCCAUUGGUGGCAGCAAUUGUCUUGUGGCAUCUAGCUUUGUUUCUGAAAGUGUGUUGGAAGGAAGAAGCAAACAGACAGAUUCAGGAAGGAAUUGUCAGACAGAAUGGGCAAAUAGGGUGGAAGGGAACUUUCGAGAAAGUGAAUUUAAAUUGUCUACAAGAGCUGAUUGUUGAAAUAAAUGCAGCAUUUACUGGAAGAUGGAGUCUUCU
RNAcentral lists this long non-coding RNA (1122 nucleotides) under Pogona vitticeps (central bearded dragon). Its description in RNAcentral is "lncRNA (ENSPVIG00000011087.1)". Lineage: Eukaryota; Metazoa; Chordata; Lepidosauria; Squamata; Agamidae. The record is from RNAcentral.